AUUGGCAUAAUGAUGAUUUAAAAAAAAAAAUGCCGUUUACCCAACUGAGUGCUUCCUUGAAGUAACUUGAAAUCUGAUGUGCCAUA
Antechinus flavipes (yellow-footed antechinus) is the source of this 86-nucleotide small nucleolar RNA. RefSeq annotates it as small nucleolar RNA SNORD87. The record is from RefSeq and is a predicted model, not a curated record. The transcript has a single exon. Lineage: Eukaryota; Metazoa; Chordata; Mammalia; Dasyuromorphia; Dasyuridae.